RNAcentral lists this ribosomal RNA (759 nucleotides) under Lyngbya sp. UTEX B 386. RNAcentral describes it as "bacterial LSU rRNA". It matches the Rfam family "Bacterial large subunit ribosomal RNA", at positions 914 to 1675 of the family's 2925-position model. The record is from RNAcentral. Lineage: Bacteria; Bacillati; Cyanobacteriota; Cyanophyceae; Oscillatoriales; Microcoleaceae.
UUCGGUGCGGGCUGCGAGAGCGGUACCAAAUCGAGACGAACUCUGAAUACCCUGUGUGUAGCAAGGCAGUCAGACUGUGGGGGAUAAGCUCCAUGGUCGAAAGGGAAACAGCCCAGACCGCCAGCUAAGGUCCCCAAAUCAAUGCUGAGUGAUAAAGGAGGUGGGAUUGCCCAGACAACCAGGAGGUUUGCCCAGAAGCAGCCAUCCUCAAAGGAGUGCGUAAUAGCUCACUGGUCGAGCGAUCCUGCGCCGAAAAUGAACGGGGCUAAGCAUUGUACCGAAGCUGCGGAUUUAAUUGUUCUUAGGAACAAUCAAGUGGUAGGGGAGCGUUCCAUGUGGGGUGAAGCGUUAGCGUAAGCGGGCGUGGACUGCAUGGAAGUGAGAAUGUCGGCUUGAGUAGCGAAAACAUGGGUGAGAAUCCCAUGCCCCGAAACCCUAAGGGUUCCUCCGGCAGGCUCGUCCGCGGAGGGUUAGUCAGGACCUAAGGCGAGGCCGAAGGCGUAGUCGAUGGACAACAGGUUAACAUUCCUGUACCUGUCAUGUUUUGGGAAGGGGGACGGAGAAGGCUAGCCCAGCCAGACGUUGGUUACUGGUUCAAGCGUUCGAGGCGUUGAGGGGUGGAGAAAACAUCCUGAGCUGAGGCGUGAGUACGAGCUGCUACGGCAGCGAAGUGGGUGACGUCAAGCUUCCAAGAAAAGCCCUAUACCCGUUAAGGCAUGAUGGCCUGUACCCGAANGAACUCGGCAAAAUGGCCCCGUA